AAUAUGCUAGAGAAGACGUUUUUGCUUGUUCAAAACUUUUCAUUUUUGCAAUGUCUAAUUCUUCAAACUGGCAUAUUUCGUUGCGAAACCCGAUACCGAAGUAAUCAUUCAAUUAUAAAAAAUUUGGUACGACUCUCCUGAAACUUCAGACAAGCUUACAAUGGAGAUCUACCAAUAACUGCUUUCAUCAAAAUCCUUAUUGAUGUGAACUAUGCCAUUUAAAUACGAGAGAAACCAGUCGAGUUUUCAGAAAUCUGCCCAAAAGAUGAGUUAAUUUUAAAGGUUAUUGCAUUUACAAGUUUGAAAAGUCGCUAAUUUAGAAGUUAUGUUAAGUCUUCUCUCGAGCAACCAUUUUUUUAGAGUUUUCUUGCAAGUUCUCAAAGGAAACCAGAUUCCUUCAUGAAUACCAGUCGAAGAUGCUGCAGUGAAUUGAUUGAAAAUAGAUGCGCCUGAAGAGUUAUAUUCUGAAUGGCAUUACGACUUUCCUGGGUACUCAACAGAUGCACUCGCAUGGCCAUCCAAAACACGUAACUGUUAUGACAUGUAUUGCUCUAAGAUGAUUUAAUUACAAUAAUCUCCAUUUCAAGAAUCAUUUGAUACCUGUAUUCCAUUAAUCUGAUUUGUGGAGAAAACGCGUAUAAUUUAUGUAAUGCAAUAUAUAAUUAAACGAAACUUGUCGAUAAGUUUAACAUAGGGAACUUCAUUCAAUCUUAAAGUAUCUAAGAAAUAUGUUUACAUUUUUAACUUGAUUUACAGCUUAACUAAAAAAAAAAAUACUUCGCUGUAAGUCAAAUGAAGCGGACGUGUUUAAUGUAAACAAGACUCCUGAACCAAUUUAAAAUCGUAAUUUAAAGGCCAGGAUACAAGUUCGACUUCCAAUUGUUUCUGGAUUCCUAGGCUGCAACAAAUUACCAAUUCUCAUCGCGUGUAAAUUAUCGGCAAGCGAACCCAACAGGCAGUGGCAAAUAAUUGUUAAUGAUUUCGUAUUUGGCUCACUCGGUGAUAUAUCAACUUUUCAAAUUUAUUAGACAUCACUAGAGACGGAUUCAUGCUCUUAUCAGAUCAGAUCAUAUCGUACGAAGAAAAUUAAAUUUAACCGCAUAAUGUUAAAUGCAGAACUUUUAAUUUCGUGGUAUUUAGAUGCAAUCUAGGUUUAUCAUGAAAUUCCAAACCUUCCGAUUUCAGUUUGAUCCCUCAAAGGAAUACAAACUAAGAACACGCGAAAUUCCGCAAAAAAAAUUUAGUUGCAACUAGUUCAAAAAGAAACUUGUGUUGAGUUAAGACGACGGAUUAAGUUUAAAAAGCAAUUCUACUGCUAUCAUAGCUCCCAAUAGUUAAAAAUUCCAAUGUUAAAAGUAGAAAUUGCACUUGCUCGGUUCUUGCAGCUAAAAUGAUAAAUGGUUGUUGUGGUAUAGGGUUUCGAAAAGGGAGAAUAACCCGUUAAAAUUCCGGCACCUGCUGACUUUUCAUUUAGGUUGUUUGGGACCGGCAACCUAAGUGGAAAGUCGCGGUCCCCAGGAGUUGGUAUUUAACGUGGUUACUGGGGUGGUUGAAGUACAUGGAAACUGAAUUUGGAGGGUCGUCGGAAUAUGAUCUGGAUAUUAGAUUAAAAUUAUCCCCGAUACUGGAUAUAUUAAAUAUUUGUAGGCGGAAAAGAACCAUGGAUAUAUUUUAAUCCAAAAAGUGCAAUUAAUGCUUGAUACAUUGGUAAUGAAUAUCGGGAAUUUUAGAACUUAACUGCUUGUUCUUAGCGUCAAUGACCUACAGUUCAAAUAUGUUGUAUACUUAACCAUACGUUAUGUUAAUGAUAAAUAAAUGGAAAGUGGACAUGGCUUCGUAUAGAGCUAUUUAAAAUUCACAUUAGAAUAAUUUUAAAGGUGUCCAAAUAUAUUUAUCAACUUAAGGAUCACCCAUGGAUUAAAAGUUGAGUAAGGAUUCGAGUGUUAUACAAGUAAUAGUUUAAAAUUUUAUCUUCACAUGCUAAUUGUAAAGAUUUAAUAAUCGUGGAUUGUUAUAUCUGCAAUUAGACUGCUUGCGGCAUUAUUCCAGUUCUCUAGUGAUGUUUCAUGGAAGUGUAGGUUACGGAAGAGUUUAAAUCGUGUAUCAUUAUUUCCCUCUUAUCCAAUGGCAUUUGAUUUUAGUACAUGACCGAUCUUAAAACUGAGUGUGUUCAAAACUAGGAAUAAUUGAAGACUUUUGUAUUGGGAUUAGAAAUGAUUUGCGUAGAAAUUUAAUUACUCGAUACUGAAAUCCCUUGCUUCCCGUUUUAACAUUUCAUACAACAAAAAAUGCAUAAAAUUUUAAGGAAAUCUCGCCUGGAUUAAUAAUUAAGGGCAAUUCUUUAAUGUGAAACGUCUUCCCUACUUGGCUUUUAAUCCAAAGUAGACUAAAUGAAUUGUAAAUUCCCCCCAAAAAUUCGAGAUUUUAUAGUGUUAGGUUGGAAAUUUGGAAAUCGAAAAAUAUUAUGCAAUACCUUUAAAUUUAAAUAGUUCAGGAGUUCAAGUUAAUUCUAGUAAACGGAUACAACUUGUUCGAUUUUGGCAAACUCAUGGAUCGUC
Molecule: long non-coding RNA, 2558 nt
Organism: Argiope bruennichi
Lineage: Eukaryota; Metazoa; Arthropoda; Arachnida; Araneae; Araneidae
Exons: 4
Source: RefSeq, a predicted model, not a curated record